Molecule: transfer RNA, 75 nt
Filed under: Frondihabitans sp. PAMC 28766
Lineage: Bacteria; Bacillati; Actinomycetota; Actinomycetes; Micrococcales; Microbacteriaceae
Rfam family: tRNA
About the family: Transfer RNA (tRNA) molecules are approximately 80 nucleotides in length.
Source: Rfam by way of RNAcentral
CGCGGCGUAUCCAAGCGGUCGAAGGAAACGGUCUCAUAGCCCGUCAAGCCGCAGGUUCGAAUCCUGCCGCCGCGU